AAUGAACGCUGGCGGCGCGCCUAAUACAUGCAAGUCGAGCGAGAAGACGUGGCAAUACGUUUGUAAAGCGGCGAACGGGUGAGGAAUACAUGGGUAACCUACCCUCGAGUGGGGAAUAACUAGCCGAAAGGUUAGCUAAUACCGCGUACGCUUCUUGGACUUCGGUUCAGGGAGGAAAGCGAUGCCGAGGGUAUCGCGCUCUUGGAUGGGCUCAUGUCCUAUCAGCUGUUGGUGAGGUAACGGCUCACCAAGGCUUCGACGGGUAGCUGGUCUGAGAGGACGAUCAGCCACACUGGCACUGCGACACGGGGCCAGACUCCUACGGGGAGGCAGCAGUAAGGAAUAUUGCGCAAUGGGCGAAAGCCUGACGCAGCGACGCCGC
Molecule: ribosomal RNA, 382 nt
Filed under: uncultured bacterium
Lineage: Bacteria
Description: bacterial SSU rRNA
Rfam family: Bacterial small subunit ribosomal RNA
Source: RNAcentral